RNAcentral lists this long non-coding RNA (267 nucleotides) under Setaria viridis. Its description in RNAcentral is "long non-coding RNA (SVIR_LNC000905)". Lineage: Eukaryota; Viridiplantae; Streptophyta; Magnoliopsida; Poales; Poaceae. The record is from RNAcentral.
AUAGCAGGAGUGAAUUUUAGACUGAGCAAUUCGCGUUAGUACCUUUUAACUUGGAGAACUUAUCAAGUGAUCUUUGCCUACCUCCACAAUUGUGCCAUCGUACGUGUUUCCCAAUAAUUAAUGCUUGCCUACCAUGACUAGACGUAAAGUCGAAACACACGACAAUGCAAACACUUCAGAGGAUGCAAAUGAAAUUGUCGACUGGUAUCGUCAAAAUGCUCAUUGUAAUCACUGGCUCAAAUGCCAAUAGAAAGGAAGAAACUACUG